RNAcentral lists this ribosomal RNA (465 nucleotides) under uncultured bacterium. Its description in RNAcentral is "partial 16S ribosomal RNA". It matches the Rfam family "Bacterial small subunit ribosomal RNA", at positions 28 to 507 of the family's 1533-position model. The record is from RNAcentral.
GAUGAACGCUGGCGGCGUGCUUAACACAUGCGAGUCGAACGGAAAGGCCUCUGCUUGCAGGGGUACUCGAGUGGCGAACGGGUGAGUAACACGUGGGUGAUCUGCCCUGCACUUCGGGAUAAGCCUGGGAAACUGGGUCUAAUACCGGAUAGGACAAUGGUUUGGAUGCCGUUGUGGAAAGUUUUUCGGUGUGGGAUGAGCUCGCGGCCUAUCAGCUUGUUGGUGGGGUAAUGGCCUACCAAGGCGUCGACGGGUAGCCGGCCUGAGAGGGUGUACGGCCACAUUGGGACUGAGAUACGGCCCAGACUCCUACGGGAGGCAGCAGUGGGGAAUAUUGCACAAUGGGCGCAAGCCUGAUGCAGCGACGCCGCGUGGGGGAUGACGGCCUUCGGGUUGUAAACUCCUUUCGCUAGGGACGAAGCGCAAGUGACGGUACCUGGAGAAGAAGCACCGGCUAACUACGUG